Molecule: ribosomal RNA, 245 nt
Filed under: uncultured bacterium
Lineage: Bacteria
Description: partial 16S ribosomal RNA
Rfam family: Bacterial small subunit ribosomal RNA
Source: RNAcentral
UACGGAGGGUGCAAGCGUUGCUCGGAAUUACUGGGCGUAAAGGGCGUGUAGGCGGUUUCGUAUGUCUGGCGUGAAAGCCCCGGGCUCACCUCGGGAAGUGCGUCGGAAACUGCGAGACUAGAGUCCCGGAGAGGGAGGUGGAAUUCCAGGUGUAGCGGUGAAAUGCGUAGAUAUCUGGAAGAACACCGGUGGCGAAAGCGGCCUCCUGGACGGUGACUGACGCUGAGACGCGAAAGCGUGGGGAG